AAGAUUAACUUUAAUAGACUUCUAAUCUAUCAGAAAUGACAACUCAUUUAAUCUUU
Molecule: transfer RNA, 56 nt
Filed under: Ixodes vespertilionis
Lineage: Eukaryota; Metazoa; Arthropoda; Arachnida; Ixodida; Ixodidae
Also listed under: 1 other name
Description: tRNA-Ser
Source: RNAcentral